This 1734-nucleotide ribosomal RNA is filed under the name human gut metagenome. RNAcentral's name for it is "bacterial LSU rRNA". The stretch from base 227 to 1734 matches the Rfam family "Bacterial large subunit ribosomal RNA". The record is from RNAcentral.
CACCUCGGUCACGUGACCUACCGCGAGGACCACGGCGACGGCCGUUGCGAGUGCGAGUGGUGCGAGGUCUACCUUGCUCAUGUUGAGCCGGGCGAGCUGCAUAUCAACCAAGAGGAGAUCUCGGAAGUGCGCCGCGUGGCUCCGUCCGAGCUCAAAGGCUAUCCGCAGGGUCACCCCGAGCAGCUGGCCCCCUGGCUCCGCGAGGCCCUCAGCGACCCAUCCAUCCGUACGGAUCUCGCUAUGUGAAACAAAAGACAGUCCCUUUGCCACAUCCAAACCGUCACAACAUUUGAUGAAAAUCUCGAAAACGAGGAAAAGCGUCGAAUGUUGUGACGCUUUUCCUGUCUGUGCCGGCGAGCUCCCGUGCCAUCUGGGGGUAUAAGGCUGGCAAGUGUUUAUUUGCGAGGCUUAAGGGGCGCCCCGUAUGGAUAUCGAUAACUUUGAAUGGUGGUAUAGCGAGGGCGAGGCUCCGGACGAAGCGAUCAAGCGAAGCGAGUGAGCCCGAGGUCCCUAGAAAAACCCCUAGGCAGGCGCGUGCGCGCCCGUACCGCAAACCGACACAGGUGGGUGGGUAGAACAUACCGAGGCGAUCGGGUCAACCAUGGUCAAGGAACUCGGCACAAUGGCCCCGUAACUUCGGGAGAAGGGGUGCCCGCGCGUACGUGAACCGGCUUGCCCGGGGAGCGGAGGCGGGCCGCAGUGGAGAGGCCCAAGCGACUGUUUACCAAAAACACAGGACUCUGCAGAAGCCGCAAGGCGACGUAUAGGGUCUGACGCCUGCCCGGUGCCGGAAGGUCACGCGGAGGAGUUAGCGCAUCGCGCGAAGCCCCGAAGCCAAGCCCCGGUAAACGGCGGCCGUAACUAUAACGGUCCUAAGGUAGCGAAAUUCCUUGUCGGGUAAGUUCCGACCUGCACGAAAGGCGCAACGACUUGGGCGCUGUCUCGACCAUGGACCCGGUGAAAUUGCACUGGUCGUGAAGAUGCGACUUACCCGCGGAAGGACGGAAAGACCCCGUGAACCUUCACUGCAGCUUGGCAUUGGCCGCUGGUCCCGCGUGUAGAGGAUAGGCAGGAGGCGAAGAUCCGGAGGCGCCAGCCCCCGGGGAGCCGCCCUUGGAAUACUGCCCUCGCGCGACCGGCGUCCUAACCCGAGGCCGUCAACCGGCUCGGGGACCGUGCCAGGCGGGCAGUUUGACUGGGGCGGUCGCCUCCUAAAGGGUAACGGAGGCGCGCGAAGGUCCGCUCGGGACGGUCGGCAACCGUCCUUUUGAAUGCAAGAGUACAAGCGGGCUUGACUGCGAGGCCCACAAGCCGAGCAGGUGCGAAAGCAGGCUCUAGUGAUCCGGCGGCCCCGAGUGGGUGGGCCGUCGCUCAACGGAUAAAAGGUACUCCGGGGAUAACAGGCUGAUCUUGCCCAAGAGUCCACAUCGACGGCAAGGUUUGGCACCUCGAUGUCGGCUCAUCGCAUCCUGGGGCUGGAGCAGGUCCCAAGGGUACGGCUGUUCGCCGUUUAAAGCGGUACGCGAGCUGGGUUCAGAACGUCGUGAGACAGUUCGGUCCCUAUCCUCCGUGGGCGCAGGAGAAUCGAUGGAGGCUGCCCCCAGUACGAGAGGACCGGGGUGGACGCACCUCCGGUGAACCGGUUGUCGACCAACGGCACGGCCGGGUAGCCGCGUGCGGCGCGGAUAACCGCUGAAGGCAUCUAAGCGGGAAGCCGUUCCAGGGAUUAGUUCU